AGUGUAGGCGGCAUGACAAGUCUGGUGUGAAAUAUCUCGGCUCAACCGAGAAAACGCACUGGAAACUGUCAAGCUUGAGUAUCGGAGGGGAAGCUAGAAUUCCUGGUGUAGGGGUGAAAUCUGUAGAUAUCAGGAAGAAUACCGGUGGCGAAGGCGAGCUUCUGGCCAGAUACUGACGCUGAGAUGCGAAAGCGUGGGGAGCGAACAGGAUUAGAUACCCUGGUAGUCC
Molecule: ribosomal RNA, 229 nt
Filed under: uncultured bacterium
Lineage: Bacteria
Description: partial 16S ribosomal RNA
Rfam family: Bacterial small subunit ribosomal RNA
Source: RNAcentral